Molecule: non-coding RNA, 323 nt
Organism: Phascolarctos cinereus (koala)
Lineage: Eukaryota; Metazoa; Chordata; Mammalia; Diprotodontia; Phascolarctidae
Source: RefSeq, a predicted model, not a curated record
GCAGGAGGAGGAAGAGGAGGAGGAGGAGGGAAUUCCCUUUUCACCUGGGUCUAGAGGUGGGGUGUGGCCAGCUGGAGAUCUGCUCGCCCCCAACCCCCUGCCCUUCUCUGCCCCCACCACAGGUCCUUCCUCCUCACUCCGUUCCCCCCCCCACCUGAGAGAUCCCAGAAAUUCCUGCACUUUCCUGCGUGGCUGUGUAUGAGGGCUGUUCCUCCCUGGGGUUUCCUACCUGCCUUGUCUGGAGGUCUGGGGCUUGGGGGACCGUGCGGUGGAGGCCAGCAGGGAGAAGCCUUUGGGGACACUCCUUCCAUCCUCUCCUCAGG